AUUGAACGCUGGCGGCAGGCCUAACACAUGCAAGUCGAGCGGUAACAGAGAGGUGCUUGCACCUUUGCUGACGAGCGGCGGACGGGUGAGUAAUGCUUGGGAAUAUGCCUUUUGGUGGGGGACAACAGUUGGAAACGACUGCUAAUACCGCAUGAUGUCUACGGACCAAAGUGGGGGACCUUCGGGCCUCAAGCCAAGAGAUUAGCCCAAGUGGGAUUAGCUAGUUGGUAAGGUAAUGGCUUAGCAAGGCGACGAUCCCUAGCUGGUUUGAGAGGAUGAUCAGCCACACUGGGACUGAGACACGGCCCAGACUCCUACGGGAGGCAGCAGUGGGGAAUAUUGCACAAUGGGCGCAAGCCUGAUGCAGCCAUGCCGCGUGUGUGAAGAAGGCCUUCGGGUUGUAAAGCACUUUCAG
RNAcentral lists this ribosomal RNA (415 nucleotides) under uncultured Pseudoalteromonas sp. RNAcentral describes it as "bacterial SSU rRNA". It matches the Rfam family "Bacterial small subunit ribosomal RNA", at positions 30 to 439 of the family's 1533-position model. The record is from RNAcentral. Lineage: Bacteria; Pseudomonadati; Pseudomonadota; Gammaproteobacteria; Alteromonadales; Pseudoalteromonadaceae.